This 97-nucleotide ribosomal RNA is filed under the name Oncorhynchus kisutch (coho salmon). The record is from RNAcentral. Lineage: Eukaryota; Metazoa; Chordata; Actinopteri; Salmoniformes; Salmonidae. RNAcentral also lists the same sequence under 9 other names.
UACGCCCGAUCUCGUCCGAUCUCGGAAGCUAAGCAGGGUCGGGCCUGGUUAGUACUUGGAUGGGAGACCGCCUGGGAAUACCAGGUGCUGUAAGCUU